GAACCUCACCCGUCCGGUUUUCUGAACCGCGGCGCGCGUGCUUUGGGAUCGCCUCUGGCCUUCCUUAAAUGACUAAGUGGAAAACGUCUCAGUUUCGUGAGCCACUCUAAUGACCAUCUCUAU
RNAcentral lists this unclassified non-coding RNA (123 nucleotides) under uncultured fungus. RNAcentral describes it as "sequence contains ITS2". The record is from RNAcentral. Lineage: Eukaryota; Fungi.